Molecule: long non-coding RNA, 2003 nt
Organism: Olea europaea var. sylvestris
Lineage: Eukaryota; Viridiplantae; Streptophyta; Magnoliopsida; Lamiales; Oleaceae
Exons: 3
Source: RefSeq, a predicted model, not a curated record
AUAGGCCCUAAAUGAAAAUCAGAUCAAGGGUCGAGGUGUUGCCACCUCAAUCUCUGUCAUUUGGUCCGAUCAAAAGGCCCUCACUAUAUCAGGGCUCACAAAAUAAUUAUGAGUCAACUAUAUAAAUCUCUUGGAUCUAAAUUGCCUGUCAAAAUUUGCAGAGAAGAGAAGGAAUAGUUAUUUCAUCAGGAAAGUUUCCAACUGUCCUCAAAGGCUUCCAAUAAUCCAUCAUGCUACUGGUAUCAAUCUUCCCUAGCAAUAGAGUAUUGGAAGACUUGUGGACCGUUGAAGACACAUUUCUUUCAUCGAGGUAAAUCGGGUCGAGCCAUCUAUCUAGAUUACAAAAGACAGAAAACCUAGCUCAAGCCACGUCACAAGUACGAGCUGGAUGCAUAGUAAUUGGUCUCCUGCUUCAAGCUUAGUCAGAGUACUUUUCUCUUGGAAGUAUGGAAUAAAACAAAAGUGAAAUUUCUUUGUUAUCUUCUCUCAGUUCUGGACUUCCUAUGGAGGUUAUGAGAAACUUAUAAAUUAUAAUAGUUUGAUUAUAGUAAUGGCAAGUUCAACAAGGUUUUGGUCCCAACUUCCAAGAGGUUGGAAAGAGCAAGGUCUAAACAAGUGCUACAUAUACUUUCACAAAGAGAUAGACAACCCUUCUCUCUCCCUUUUUUGCAGGAAACUCAUCUCUGAAUUAGCUACGCCAUGUCUAGCAAAUAUAACAAUCCCCAGCCCCCCAAUCGGACAACAUUAGUAAUCUAAGUCUCCAUCAAGGUCCAACUCUGUCUCUUUGUGCCAGUGCCACCGCCUUAUGUGAGCACAAUUUCCUGCGGACUUUCUCAGCCAUCAGAGAGAGAGAGUGGGGCUGGAGCAUGCAAACCCUCCCAUUUCUUCCAUUUCGUGCACUCUUAUUUGCAGAAAGUUGGCAUUCUCUGAACUCUCUCCCUCAGUGGCCCUUUCAUGACUUUAGGUUGAAGGAGAAGCCUUUGAGAUGUGGGGGUUCAGAAAUUGCCAGCCUUCUUACCAGUUUCAACAGUUCAUUAAUAAGCCGCGUGCAGAUAUAUAUACAAAAUUAUUUGUAGCAACUUGAUGAAAGACUCGUUCAAUUAUCUCUCUAUGGUCGUGCCCAUAGAAGGAGAGUCACAUGAGUUUUAUCUUGGAGCCAUGUAGCAUUGAAAGAACCCGCACGAAGGGUAGACAACACAACUUUAAGACAGCGUCCUCUAUGUGACUCCAAAGGCUUGAUUUUCUAACUCUCUUCUUAUAUUUAUAUUAUUUUGAAUCAUGUUAAUGUUAUUUAAUUGAAUUGUGCAAAUCAUUAAUUUCCCCUACAAUCUAAAGUCGUGUUGUAUGAUUUGUGAGUAGAUAUUUGGUAUUGUGAUUUUCAAAUAUAAAAUCACAUGUAAGUUCACCAACAGUAGUAAAACCAGCCAUGAACUGUCAUUUAGAUGAUAGAAAUAAAUAUUGGGUCAUGAAUGCCAUGGAUAGUUUGGGAGAUUAAUUAUAAGAUUGCUUAAUACUUUUUUAUAUUUAAAGAAUUGAAAUAAUUUGUCAUUUACUUUGCACAUUUUACAUAACCUAAUAGAUUAUAACAACAUACUCUAGAAGAAAUACAUCAAAUAUGAUAGCCUCUUUGUCAUCAAUCAGAAAGAAAAUUUUAGUUAAUUUUCUUCUUCCUAAUAUACGAAUUUUCAUUUCAAGCAUGUAGUUACUUCAUCAUGUUAUGUCGACACCAUUUGAAAUAUAUACGGAAACUGUUAGUAUAAUUUUGUAGAUUUCUGUCUAAUUUUGUUAUGCUUUCCAUCCACAAAUGCAGUAAAACCUCACUUAGCUUGCAAACAAGUUGGAAUUUUGAUAUAAAUGUUCUCAACUCCUAAAAAAAAUAAAAAAUAAUAAUAAAAAUAAAACAAAUCUUGGGAGCUUGUAAGCUUAGAUUUUAAUAUUCUACUGAAUGUGAUGAGCUAGAUUAAAUUCAACCUUAGAUCAUGUUUAGCAUCGUUAAUUCUAGC